ACCCAGCUAGAGAGUGUCUGUUUGCAAGCCAGGAGCAGAGCUCUCGGCAGAAACCAACCAUGCUGGCAUCUUCAUCUUGGCAUCUUCAUCUUGGACUUCUAGACUUCAGACUACGGUGAUUUCAUACAGUAUCCUUCACCAGAAUUUGGUUACACAUUGGGGAGCCACUGCUGGUCUUUUAGAAAUGAGAAAACUGAACCCACUAGAGGUCAUAUGCUAAAUGACAGGGCUGAGACCUCUCCACAGCACAUCUGAUAUUGGGAUCGAUGAAGAUCAGAUGUGCAAAUCACAAUGGGCUCCGGAAAGCCCUAGACUGUGUCAUUCAAGGAAGCUGUGACUCGGCCUGAAGGAUUUCUGUGGUCAACGGAACGUGCCCAGCUCAUGUGUAGAGCAGGAGGAAGUGUUCCUGCUCCAGAAUUCCCCAGAAACAAAGCAACCUUCAAGCAAUGACAUCUGAAAGUUGAAGGACAGAUACUUCAGCUCUGUCAGUAUGUUGUAUGGGACAACUCAGUCCCUACAUAGUCUAAGGGGUCCGGCAUGACUCAUCUCCUACAGCAAUAAAUAACCUGCUAAUAGACGCAUCUGAUUGGCAUCCUUCCUUUCUCUCCCUCGCAUUCCCACAUCCCUAAAGGUA
Cercocebus atys (sooty mangabey) is the source of this 634-nucleotide long non-coding RNA. RefSeq lists it as uncharacterized. NCBI's taxonomy places the organism in Eukaryota, Metazoa, Chordata, Mammalia, Primates, Cercopithecidae. The transcript is spliced from 4 exons. The record is from RefSeq and is a predicted model, not a curated record.